AACGUAGGAGACAAACGUUAUCCGGAGUUACUGGGCGUAAAGGGCGUGUAGGCGGUCUGUUAAGUCUGGCGUGAAAGCUCUCGGCUAAACCGGGAGAGGUCGUUGGAUACUGGCAGACUAGAGGACGGUAGAGGCGUGUGGAAUUCCGGGUGUAGUGGUGAAAUGCGUAGAGAUCCGGAGGAACACCAGUGGCGAAGGCGACACGCUGGGCCGGUACUGACGCUGAGGAGCGAAAGCGUGGGGAGCAAACAGG
Molecule: ribosomal RNA, 253 nt
Filed under: uncultured bacterium
Lineage: Bacteria
Description: partial 16S ribosomal RNA
Rfam family: Bacterial small subunit ribosomal RNA
Source: RNAcentral